UAAGUCUGAGAGAAUAAGAGAGGAGGAGGAGGAGGAGGAGAAGUAUCACACACACACACACACACACACACACACACACGAGUGGUGGUGGUGGUGGUAGCGGCUGAGUCCUCCCCCGAACUUUCUGUCAGUUCUCACUUGUGGCUCAGACAGGCAGGAGGUGGUGGCGAGACACGCGUCCGCUCCGAUCCUCCUUCACACGCCCACAGCCUCAGAUCCUCCUUAUAAGCGAUUCGAUCCUUUAUACUCACCCUCAUAUGGGAUUAACGUGUCUGUGAAGAAAACGGAACAAAUUUAAGGCAAACUUUGAAAAAACGUGAUUCCAGAGAGAGAGAGAGAGAGAGAGAGAGAGAGUGUUUGACCUUGUCCUGUUUCUAUUAAAGCAAAAAAAGACAAACAAAUAAGACGAAG
Molecule: long non-coding RNA, 411 nt
Organism: Portunus trituberculatus (swimming crab)
Lineage: Eukaryota; Metazoa; Arthropoda; Malacostraca; Decapoda; Portunidae
Exons: 2
Source: RefSeq, a predicted model, not a curated record